UUUUAAUUGUUGUGAAGUGUGCUUUGUUUUAUUUUUUAAUUUAAAUCGUUUUCGGUAUUUUCACAACUGAUCUCAACGCUCUGUUAGAAGUCUGCAGAAUAAUGUUGCUCUCCCUGCAGCUGUUGCGCUCUGCGCACGCUCUCUCUGUCACACACAUUUGCUUAUUGUACCCUGUGAGUGAGAAUUAUAAAGAGCUUAUUAGUUGCUUUUACAGGUAUUUCAUAGUGUAGACGGUCAUACAAUCACAUUGUCUGGCUGCUUAUAUUGCCUAAGGUUUAUUUUCAAACUCUCAAAACGCGAGAAACUUUUGCCGUGGACGGACGUUUCGUCGCCGUCGUCGUCGCGUGGUGGCUUCAGUUACUUGAAUUUGAGAACUGUUAUUGUGUUUUUAGGCGCAGCAAAGGUGCGCUCAAUACGUACCAAUAGAGUAUUUGGCGACGCGGCGUCGCUGAAUAAAACACCUUUCACCAGUUCUCAAAAAUUGAAAUUAAAUCAAAGAAUCGCGUGUGUUUGACAAGAAGAAAUAGUGCGAAAAAUUUGCCAAUCAAAUGCAAAUACAAAAACUGUGAACGACUUUUGUUUUUGCAUUUGGUUUUGUUUUUGUUCUUUUUGGCGGCGGCUGCUGUGUACGUAAAACAUAAAAACGAUUCUCAUUAAAAUAAUAACAACAACAACAUUAACACAUAAAGUGUUGUGUGUGUGCGUGCGAGUGGCUGAGUGGCAAUUUUUUCAUCGUUAUUACUUCAUAACAGAGCGCAGCGCACGCUGCUGCUUUUGUGCUCUCUCUUGAGCUGUGUGUAUAUCGCUCUCAGCAGCAGCCGCACCGGCAAGCAGCCUCAUCAGUGGAGGGUUGCAGCAGCAGCAGCAGCCGCAGUCGCGGCCACAACAAAAAGGUAGCAGCAAAGCUUUGGCUAACCCUCGCUCGCUCUCACUUGCGCUCUGUCUAUGCUCACCCUCGCACAUAACCGCUCAGCGGCCAAAAGCCAGCGGAAUUUUAAUCAAGCUGCAACAGCGAAGCCCGCAGAAUGCAGCAGGCGCAGGUGAAGCGUGCGGCAAUAACAGCGGCUGCCGUUAAUUGAGGCCAGGACCAGGACACGGUCAAAUGGCUUCAUUUGUAUGCAAAGCAAACUCAACCAAAACAACAACAACAACAACCAGAACAAUUGAGAGAACAAGUGAAGUUGAAAGCGAAACAAAGUAAACAAAGGAAAUGCAGCACAGCGGCUAAGCGCCUGAAGCUGAAAAGAAAACCUGAACCAAAUCCACGCACAAGAGUCGGACGGAAAGUAACUGAGGACAACAAACAGCACAGAGAAGGGCAACAGGAUGAUGAGCGCAGGGGGCACCUACAUAUCGACGGCCACCGUGGAGGUGCCACAGGCUCUGCAGGAUGGCGAGAAGUUCAUCAAAUGGG
This is a long non-coding RNA of Drosophila montana, 1414 nucleotides long. RefSeq lists it as uncharacterized. The transcript is spliced from 3 exons. The record is from RefSeq and is a predicted model, not a curated record. NCBI's taxonomy places the organism in Eukaryota, Metazoa, Arthropoda, Insecta, Diptera, Drosophilidae.